AGUGAACGCUGGCGGUAGGCCUAACACAUGCAAGUCGAACGGCAGCACAGUAAGAGCUUGCUCUUACGGGUGGCGAGUGGCGGACGGGUGAGGAAUACAUCGGAAUCUACUUUUUCGUGGGGGAUAACGUAGGGAAACUUACGCUAAUACCGCAUACGACCUACGGCUGAAAGCAGGGGAUCUUCGGACCUUGCGCGAUUGAAUGAGCCGAUGUCGGAUUAGCUAGUUGGCGAGGUAAAGGCCCACCAAGGCAACGAUCCGUAGCCGACCUGAGAGGAUGGGCGGCCACAGGGGAACUGAGACACGGUCCAGACUCCUACGGGAGGCAGCAGUAGGGAAUGUGCAGCAAUGGGCGAAAGCCUGACGGAGCAACGCCGAGGGAGUGAUGAAGGUCUUCGGAUCGUAAAACUCUGUUAUUAGGGAAGAACAAAUGUGGAAGUAACUAUGCACGUCUUGACGGUAACUAAGAAGAAAGCCACGGCUAACUACGUG
This 492-nucleotide ribosomal RNA is filed under the name uncultured bacterium. RNAcentral describes it as "partial 16S ribosomal RNA". It matches the Rfam family "Bacterial small subunit ribosomal RNA", at positions 29 to 507 of the family's 1533-position model. The record is from RNAcentral.